AGAGCGGCGUACGGGUGCGGAACACGUGUGCACUGCCUUUAUCUGGGGGAUAGCCUUUCGAAAGGAAGAUUAAUACCCAUAAUAUGUUGAAUGGCAUCAUCGACAUUGAAAACUCCGGUGGAUAGAGAUGGGCCCGCGCAAAGAUUACGAUAGUUGGUGACGGUAACGGUCACCAAGUCUACGAUCUUUAGGGGGCCUGAGAGGGUGAUCCCCCACACUGGUACUGAGACCGGACCAGACUCCUACGGGAGGCCAGCAGUGACGGACAUAUUGGACAAUGGGUGAGAGCCUGAUCCAGCCAUCCCGCGUGAAGGACGACUGCCCUAUGGGUUGUACAACUUCUUUUGUAUACGGGAUAAACUACCCUCGUGAGGGUAGCUGANGGUACUAUACCGAAUAAGCACCGGUUAAACUCCAGUGUCAAAGCCGCGGUAAUACCGGAGGGUGCCACGCGUUAAUCCGGACUUUACUUAGGGUUACACAGGGGUCCCCGCAAGGCGGAUCUUGGUACAGUUCAGUGGGUGCACACCCCUCCCACCAGUUUAACUUGUGCAAACUUGCCAUUUAGCAUACUGCCAGGUCUAGGANNUGGUUGGCUGA
This 600-nucleotide ribosomal RNA is filed under the name uncultured bacterium. RNAcentral describes it as "bacterial SSU rRNA". The stretch from base 1 to 460 matches the Rfam family "Bacterial small subunit ribosomal RNA", at positions 92 to 546 of the family's 1533-position model. The record is from RNAcentral.